Molecule: ribosomal RNA, 808 nt
Filed under: Arthrobacter sp. THI437
Lineage: Bacteria; Bacillati; Actinomycetota; Actinomycetes; Micrococcales; Micrococcaceae
Description: bacterial SSU rRNA
Rfam family: Bacterial small subunit ribosomal RNA
Source: RNAcentral
UGCAAGUCGAACGAUGAUGCCAGCUUGCUGGUGGAUUAGUGGCGAACGGGUGAGUAACACGUGAGUAACCUGCCCUUGACUCUGGGAUAAGCCUGGGAAACUGGGUCUAAUACCGGAUAUGACUCCUCAUCGCAUGGUGGGGGGUGGAAAGCUUUUGUGGUUUUGGAUGGACUCGCGGCCUAUCAGCUUGUUGGUGAGGUAAUGGCUUACCAAGGCGACGACGGGUAGCCGGCCUGAGAGGGUGACCGGCCACACUGGGACUGAGACACGGCCCAGACUCCUACGGGAGGCAGCAGUGGGGAAUAUUGCACAAUGGGCGGAAGCCUGAUGCAGCGACGCCGCGUGAGGGAUGACGGCCUUCGGGUUGUAAACCUCUUUCAGUAGGGAAGAAGCGUAAGUGACGGUACCUGCAGAAGAAGCGCCGGCUAACUACGUGCCAGCAGCCGCGGUAAUACGUAGGGCGCAAGCGUUAUCCGGAAUUAUUGGGCGUAAAGAGCUCGUAGGCGGUUUGUCGCGUCUGCCGUGAAAGUCCGGGGCUCAACUCCGGAUCUGCGGUGGGUACGGGCAGACUAGAGUGAUGUAGGGGAGACUGGAAUUCCUGGUGUAGCGGUGAAAUGCGCAGAUAUCAGGAGGAACACCGAUGGCGAAGGCAGGUCUCUGGGCAUUAACUGACGCUGAGGAGCGAAAGCAUGGGGAGCGAACAGGAUUAGAUACCCUGGUAGUCCAUGCCGUAAACGUUGGGCACUAGGUGUGGGGGACAUUCCACGUUUUCCGCGCCGUAGCUAACGCAUUAAGUGCCCCGCCUGGG